AUUGAACGCUAGCGGCAUGCUUAACACAUGCAAGUCGAACGAGUGGCGGACGGGUGAGUAAUAUAUGGGAACGUGCCUAGUAGAGGGGGAUAACUACUCGAAAGAGUGGCUAAUAACGCAUACUAUUGGCGCGGCCGAUAUCGGAUUAGCUAGUUGGUGGGGUAAAGGCUCACCUAGGCAACGAUCCGUAGCUGGUUUGAGAGGACGACCAGCCACACGGGGACUGAGACACGGCCCAGACUCCUACGGGAGGCAGCAGUGGGGAAUUUUGGACAAUGGGGGAAACCCUGAUCCAGCCAUCCCGCGUGUAUGAGAAGGCCUUCGGGUUGUAAAGUACUUUUGGCAGAGAAGCGGUAUCUGCAGAAUAAGCACCGGCUAACUACGUGCCAGCAGCCGCGGUAAUAC
RNAcentral lists this ribosomal RNA (405 nucleotides) under uncultured bacterium. RNAcentral's name for it is "partial 16S ribosomal RNA". It matches the Rfam family "Bacterial small subunit ribosomal RNA", at positions 30 to 526 of the family's 1533-position model. The record is from RNAcentral.